UGGGGAAUUUUGGACAAUGGGCGCAAGCCUGAUCCAGCCAUGCCGCGUGCGGGAAGAAGGCCUUCGGGUUGUAAACCGCUUUUGUCAGGGAAGAAAUCUUCCGAGUUAAUACCUCGGGAGGAUGACGGUACCUGAAGAAUAAGCACCGGCUAACUACGUGCCAGCAGCCGCGGUAAUACGUAGGGUGCAAGCGUUAAUCGGAAUUACUGGGCGUAAAGCGUGCGCAGGCGGUUUUGUAAGACAGAGGUGAAAUCCCCGGGCUCAACCUGGGAACUGCCUUUGUGACUGCAAGGCUUGAGUGCGGCAGAGGGGGAUGGAAUUCCGCGUGUAGCAGUGAAAUGCGUAGAUAUGCGGAGGAACACCGAUGGCGAAGGNAAUCCCCUGGGCCUGCACCUGGACGCUCAUGCACGAAAGCGU
RNAcentral lists this ribosomal RNA (417 nucleotides) under uncultured bacterium. RNAcentral describes it as "partial 16S ribosomal RNA". It matches the Rfam family "Bacterial small subunit ribosomal RNA", at positions 355 to 762 of the family's 1533-position model. The record is from RNAcentral.